RNAcentral lists this ribosomal RNA (753 nucleotides) under Acarospora sp. RNAcentral's name for it is "partial large subunit ribosomal RNA". It matches the Rfam family "Eukaryotic large subunit ribosomal RNA", at positions 138 to 909 of the family's 3401-position model. The record is from RNAcentral. Lineage: Eukaryota; Fungi; Ascomycota; Lecanoromycetes; Acarosporales; Acarosporaceae.
CCGAGUUGUAAUUUGCAGAGGAUGCUUCGGGUUCGGCGCCGGUCUAAGUUCCUUGGAACAGGACGUCAUAGAGGGUGAGAAUCCCGUAUGUGACCGGCCGCCACGCCCGUGUGAAGCUCCUUCGACGAGUCGAGUUGUUUGGGAAUGCAGCUCAAAAUGGGUGGUAAAUUUCAUCUAAAGCUAAAUAUUGGCCAGAGACCGAUAGCGCACAAGUAGAGUGAUCGAAAGAUGAAAAGCACUUUGGAAAGAGAGUCAAACAGUACGUGAAAUUGUUGAAAGGGAAGCGCUUGCAACCAGACUUGCCCGCGGGUGAUCAGCCGGUAUUCUUACCGGUGCACUCGCCCGUGGUCAGGCCAGCAUCGGUUCGGGCGGCUGGAUAAAGUCCACUGGAAUGUAGCUCCUCUCGGGGAGUGUUAUAGCCAGAGGUGCCAUGCAGCCCGCCCGGACCGAGGACCGCGCUUCGGCUAGGAUGCUGGCGUAAUGGUUGUAAGCGACCCGUCUUGAAACACGGACCAAGGAGUCUAACAUCUAUGCGAGUGUUUGGGUGUCAAACCCAUGCGCGUAAUGAAAGUGAACGGAGGUGGGAACCCUCAAGGGUGCACCAUCGACCGAUCCUGAUGUCUUCGGAUGGAUUUGAGUAAGAGCAUAGCUGUUGGGACCCGAAAGAUGGUGAACUAUGCCUGAAUAGGGUGAAGCCAGAGGAAACUCUGGUGGAGGCUCGCAGCGGUUCUGACGUGCAAAUCGAUCGUCAAA